GUUAAAACACUGGUCCCUGUAUGAUCACUGAAAUUAAGCAUUGUUGAGUCUGGUCAGUACCUAGAUGAGUGACUGCUUGGGAAUACCAGGUACUGUAAG
RNAcentral lists this ribosomal RNA (99 nucleotides) under Acanthosepion pharaonis. Lineage: Eukaryota; Metazoa; Mollusca; Cephalopoda; Sepiida; Sepiidae. The record is from RNAcentral.